Long non-coding RNA from Daucus carota subsp. sativus, 670 nucleotides. RefSeq lists it as uncharacterized. The transcript is spliced from 4 exons. Lineage: Eukaryota; Viridiplantae; Streptophyta; Magnoliopsida; Apiales; Apiaceae. The record is from RefSeq and is a predicted model, not a curated record.
GGUUAUAUCGACUUUUAAUAUAUUUUUAUUUCUUCAUUAAUCUUUAAUAACUAUUUAUAUGUUUGAUGAAUAUUUGCAGCAAACAAUGAAGAAAAUGCUCUAAGAAAUUUGAAGACUCCGAUCCAGGAACUAUAGAGGCAAGAUCUCUUUCAGUGAUGAGAGCAAGAGUGCGUACAGCUCUAUGAAUCGGAUAUAGAACCAAUGGGCAACGCUUGGUUACAAUUUCGAAUCCGUUAUUAUAUGUUUGCGAGGAUGGACUACCGGAGAUGGGGCUUCAGCAUCAACAGGGAUGCAUUGAACAUAUAUCUCUUGGAAUGGUUCUGGCAUUGAUGAGUUGGGAAUGGUUCUGGCAUUGAUGAGUUGGGCACUUCAGGCUGUUAUAACAUGUGUCUGCAUUAGAUUCAUUAUUUGUGGGUUGCUGAUCAUGCAUGACGUUAUAAUUGAGGUGAAGUAGAUCAUUGCAUAUUGCAGUAGAUGAAUCUUGACAGCCAACGAUGGAGUAUCAUUGGCCUUUUCCGUAGUAAUGUAUUUUCUCUUAUUCCUAACAAGUAAUAAUUCUUACUAAACAAUAUAACACAUUGUAAAAUAUAGGAGUAUUAGCUUCUGAACACUUUGUAAGUUGACAUAUAAGGAAGAAGAUGAUUUUCGAAUAUAUCUUUGUAUUGUAAAU